RNAcentral lists this ribosomal RNA (1372 nucleotides) under uncultured bacterium. Its description in RNAcentral is "bacterial SSU rRNA". It matches the Rfam family "Bacterial small subunit ribosomal RNA", at positions 28 to 1381 of the family's 1533-position model. The record is from RNAcentral.
GAUGAACGCUGGCGGCGUGCCUAAUACAUGCAAGUCGAGCGAACGGACGAGAAGCUUGCUUCUCUGAUGUUAGCGGCGGACGGGUGAGUAACACGUGGAUAACCUACCUAUAAGACUGGGAUAACUUCGGGAAACCGGAGCUAAUACCGGAUAAUAUUUUGAACCGCAUGGUUCAAAAGUGAAAGACGGUCUUGCUGUCACUUAUAGAUGGAUCCGCGCUGCAUUAGCUAGUUGGUAAGGUAACGGCUUACCAAGGCAACGAUGCAUAGCCGACCUGAGAGGGUGAUCGGCCACACUGGAACUGAGACACGGUCCAGACUCCUACGGGAGGCAGCAGUAGGGAAUCUUCCGCAAUGGGCGAAAGCCUGACGGAGCAACGCCGCGUGAGUGAUGAAGGUCUUCGGAUCGUAAAACUCUGUUAUUAGGGAAGAACAUAUGUGUAAGUAACUGUGCACAUCUUGACGGUACCUAAUCAGAAAGCCACGGCUAACUACGUGCCAGCAGCCGCGGUAAUACGUAGGUGGCAAGCGUUAUCCGGAAUUAUUGGGCGUAAAGCGCGCGUAGGCGGUUUUUUAAGUCUGAUGUGAAAGCCCACGGCUCAACCGUGGAGGGUCAUUGGAAACUGGAAAACUUGAGUGCAGAAGAGGAAAGUGGAAUUCCAUGUGUAGCGGUGAAAUGCGCAGAGAUAUGGAGGAACACCAGUGGCGAAGGCGACUUUCUGGUCUGUAACUGACGCUGAUGUGCGAAAGCGUGGGGAUCAAACAGGAUUAGAUACCCUGGUAGUCCACGCCGUAAACGAUGAGUGCUAAGUGUUAGGGGGUUUCCGCCCCUUAGUGCUGCAGCUAACGCAUUAAGCACUCCGCCUGGGGAGUACGACCGCAAGGUUGAAACUCAAAGGAAUUGACGGGGACCCGCACAAGCGGUGGAGCAUGUGGUUUAAUUCGAAGCAACGCGAAGAACCUUACCAAAUCUUGACAUCCUCUGACAACUCUAGAGAUAGAGCUUUCCCCUUCGGGGGACAAAGUGACAGGUGGUGCAUGGUUGUCGUCAGCUCGUGUCGUGAGAUGUUGGGUUAAGUCCCGCAACGAGCGCAACCCUUAAGCUUAGUUGCCAUCAUUAAGUUGGGCACUCUAAGUUGACUGCCGGUGACAAACCGGAGGAAGGUGGGGAUGACGUCAAAUCAUCAUGCCCCUUAUGAUUUGGGCUACACACGUGCUACAAUGGACAAUACAAAGGGCAGCGAAACCGCGAGGUCAAGCAAAUCCCAUAAAGUUGUUCUCAGUUCGGAUUGUAGUCUGCAACUCGACUACAUGAAGCUGGAAUCGCUAGUAAUCGUAGAUCAGCAUGCUACGGUGAAUACGCUCCCGGGUCU